CAGCAGCCACGGUAACACGAAGGGGGCUAGCGUUGUUCGGAAUUACUGGGCGCAAAGCGCACGUAGGCGGAUAUUUAAGUCAGGGGUGAAAUCCCAGAGCUCAACUCUGGAACUGCCUUUGAUACUGGGUAUCUUGAGUAUGGAAGAGGUGAGUGGAAUUCCGAGUGUAGAGGUGAAAUUCGUAGAUAUUCGGAGGAACACCAGUGGCGAAGGCGGCCCACUGGUCCAUUACUGACGCUGAGGUGCGAAAGCGUGGGGAGCAAACAGGAUUAGAUACCCCAGUAGUCCCUGUCUCUUAUAU
This 301-nucleotide ribosomal RNA is filed under the name uncultured bacterium. RNAcentral describes it as "partial 16S ribosomal RNA". It matches the Rfam family "Bacterial small subunit ribosomal RNA", at positions 509 to 809 of the family's 1533-position model. The record is from RNAcentral.